UACGUAGGGUGCGAGCGUUAAUCGGAAUUACUGGGCGUAAAGCGUGCGCAGGCGGUUUUGUAAGCCAGAUGUGAAAUCCCCGGGCUUAACCUGGGAAUGGCAUUUGGGACUGCAAGGCUCGAGUGCGGCAGAGGAGACUGGAAUUCCUGGUGUAGCAGUGAAAUGCGUAGAUAUCAGGAGGAAUACCGACGGCGAAGGCAGGUCUCUGGGCUGACACUGACGCUCAUGCACGAAAGCGUGGGGAGCAAACAGG
RNAcentral lists this ribosomal RNA (253 nucleotides) under uncultured bacterium. Its description in RNAcentral is "partial 16S ribosomal RNA". It matches the Rfam family "Bacterial small subunit ribosomal RNA", at positions 524 to 776 of the family's 1533-position model. The record is from RNAcentral.